This 85-nucleotide transfer RNA is filed under the name Felis catus (domestic cat). It matches the Rfam family "tRNA". Rfam says of the family: Transfer RNA (tRNA) molecules are approximately 80 nucleotides in length. Their secondary structure includes four short double-helical elements and three loops (D, anti-codon, and T loops). Further hydrogen bonds mediate the characteristic L-shaped molecular structure. tRNAs have two regions of fundamental functional importance: the anti-codon, which is responsible for specific mRNA codon recognition, and the 3' end, to which the tRNAs corresponding amino acid is attached (by aminoacyl-tRNA synthetases). tRNAs cope with the degeneracy of the genetic code in two manners: having more than one tRNA (with a specific anti-codon) for a particular amino acid; and 'wobble' base-pairing, i.e. permitting non-standard base-pairing at the 3rd anti-codon position. The record is from Rfam by way of RNAcentral. Lineage: Eukaryota; Metazoa; Chordata; Mammalia; Carnivora; Felidae.
ACCUGGGUGGCUCAGUCGGUUAAGCGUCUGACUUCGGCUCAGGUCAUAUGCUCACAGUGUGUGGGUUCGAGCCCCACAUCGGGAU